UUGUGUACGGGAAUUAUAUAAUAAACCCGAAAAUAUAUAAUUAAUCCCAUAUUGCGAGUGUCAAAUUAAUUAAAACGUCAACAAAAUGUGUUACGCUUCAUAUUUGCUACCAGCCGCCGUCAAAUGUCAGACGUCAGUAACGGCGAGCAGAAACAAAACAUCAAACUACAGCGAGUGUGACCAGCCAAAAACUAGCAGCCAGCAACCAGCAGCCAUCGGUUGGGCGCACCACCCGAAAUGAAGCAAUAUUUCAACACAACAUAUGCACAGGCUAUUGUUGUUGCUUUUGUUGUUGCCUUUGUUGUGCUACAUACUCGUACAUCGUACAGUAGAAAGAAUAUAAAAGUGAAUCUAACACAAAAACCAACAGGAUUUGACCAAAUAUAACAAAUUUUAUUCACUCGCUCGUUGACAAACUGUCAAAAAACCAAAAAAAAAAAAAACAAAAUAAACGAGAAUAUUCGGCAACGAAUUAAAUGCAGUUGAGAGAAUUGAGAAAUGCAUGCAUAACCGUACAUAUGAUACAAACAUACAUAUAUGUACAUUCAUGCUGUCGGCGGUCACCGCUGUUGAUGUUCCUAAAAUGGGGUCUCUAAGCAAAUAAAUUGUGGAAAAUAUAGAAUUACAAAAUUUCUGUUUGGAAAAAAAUUGUGUCUGUUCAAAAAUAAAUAAAAUGAAUCAUAAAAAACAGGCGUAAAUUACAAACAAUUGCAACGGUAUAUGCAUUUCAGAUGUGUGUGUGUGCGUGUGUGUGAUGAGAUGAUGGAAGAGAUGCCAUCAUAAUUCACGUCAACCGACGGCGGCAAUCCGUCAUUGUGGACAAUAACUAGUGACAUUACAACGAGUUGGUCAUAACUACCGUUGUUUGUUGUUAUUAUUAAUAUAUAUGUACAUACAUAUUUUUUUUAUAAAUUAGACACAAUGCUAAGUGCUGUAAAAUGAAACGGAGAAAUAUUUUACAUUUGACAAAUUUGAGGGUUCGUUAAAUUUGUGUAAAAGAAGAACAAAAAAUUAUGAAAAAAAUUUGAAAAAAUUUCGAAACGAAUUAAUACGAAAGUUGUAGUUUCGAAUUCGGUUAAAAAGAAUAAAAUUUUAUAUGAAUUUUUGAAUAUGUAAAUCGCAUCUUUCUCACUUAUUAUAUUGAGGGAUUUUUUUGGCCAGACCUAAAGACUCUAAGUCCCUUAAACCAAAGGAAGCAGAUGCAGUUCAGAAGGGCUUGCGGAGAAGGAAAUAAUCGCUCGGCGACGGAAACGCAGCCGAAUAUACACGAAAGAUGGAUCAGGACGGUAUGCAAUGGGUUAACAGCUAGCAAGAUCGUCGAGAUCAAAUUCUAAAGGCAGCGAAGGCCGUUACAGCCACCCGGUUCAAAUCUUGGUGUCGGACUGACAUCCAAAAAUUGCGGUCCGCCCUCGGCAGGGAAUGUCAGCCCCUUCGACAUGACAUGAAAAAAGGCUCGUCAUGAAAACGGAUCAGCCACUCGGAGGUGGCUUAGUAUAUAUUGUAGGUCCCUCCAUUUGUUGAAUGAAGGAGGAGCUCGGCGAAAAAUUGCUUCAGCGGUUACAAAACGCCAAUUAUAUACAUAUAUACAAUAUAUAACAAAAAUACAUACAUGCAGAAGGUAAAGGGAAACAGGUAAGAGUGAGACGUUAGAACACCUCGUCUAUUUCUGAGACUUCGCAGUUCAGAGAACUAAUAGAAGUCACAAAUAUAGAUAAGCCAGAAGCGUUGAUAUCAUAUAUGGAUUUGACUGGACCUCAACCUGGCAUUGCUAAGCACCAACAGUACUUUACACAACGUAGCAUCCAGGCAAUGUAGCCUAACCUAACCUAAUAUAUAUGUAUCUCUCGUUCUAUGAGUGCAAUGGGAAAAAUGAUAUUUUGGUUUCAAGAAAAAGACAAAGGGAGAAUCUUUGAUCACUUAACUCAGUAGUAUUUGAGGGCAUGUCAAAGAUGAACUACUAUAUUCUACCAUUUUUCCUCGAUUAAGGCGAGUACGCAAGUCAGGAUACUUUAACAGCCAAUGAUGCACCCAUUUCCUUCCGAUGUGGAAGCUUCAUUGCCAAAAAGAUCAUAAAAUACUGAAAAUCGUCGAGUUAGGCUGUUAUUCGUUACCUCAGAGCUAAAUAUUGAAAAAAAAAUAGUUUUUAGCCAGUUGACAAGGGCUGGAUACACUAACAAGCUCGAUGUAUAUGUGCUAAAAUCUCUGAAUAUCUGCUAAAUCGCAAAAAAAAAUCGAUCCAUUUCGGAAGCAGAUGGUGAAUGGUGAUGAAAAGUUGAUCACUUAUAGCAACGUGAAGAGAAAUUGGUCUUGGACAAAGGGCAGUGAGACAGCGCAAACGGUCUCCUAGCCAGGAUUUGCCUUCCUGACCAUCUUUUGUUGUGUGUUUGGUAGGCUUGGCAAGGAAUCAUUCACUUCGUACAACUCUCCUACGGCCAAACUCUUUAUUCGUAUCGAUGAAACCAACUACCGCAAAUAAAGCCUUGCAUUUAAUGCAAAAAUAAUGGACGGAUUUUUCUUUAACAAUAUUACCUCGCAUUUAACUGAGUUUUUGUUCAUUCAGUGAAAUCGAAUUCCUAAGUUUUAAGCCCAGAACACUACACUGAUCUCAACCAACGAACCACAAGUCUCUCUUAAAGGAACCUUGUCGUCGAAGUAUAGUCAUAUACUCAUCGUAGGCUGGGUACCGAUACCGAAGACUAGCGCCUUAAUUCUGCCUUCUAAGCAAUAUUGGGACUCUACUUAUCGUAGCAAUCGGGCACCCGCUUUAAUAAACUAGUUCAUCUGCUUUCUAUUCUGUAGCAAAGCAUUAAUUGGCCAUCACAAGAAACAAAGUGAUUAACUGAACUGAAGAGAUGAGCGGGCAAAGGCCACUGAGAAAAUAUACCACUGGAAAGCGCUCAGACCUUCCAGCACCUUCAAAUGCUUUCAAGGAAAGCAAUAAGCCCGCUGGAACAACUCUAACGUAGAACAAGCUUUUAACUUGGAUUGUAGUCAAUCUAAAAACUACUUUUCUGACUGAUUACUGAGAUUUUAUAUACAGAAACUAUUAAUAAUUUGUGCUUCAAAAGUUCCAUCUUAGGAAUAUUGUGGGAGAAAAGGUGCAAGCUUUCGGACAGUCUAAGAAAACUAUUAAUGAACGUGUAGUUGGGAGAACACUAUGGAAGCAAUGAGCUAACUUAAUGAAUGUACUUAAGCCAGAUAAUGUCCAGAAUUUUGGCGCUAAUGUGAAUUUGGAUUCUUUAAUCAUUUAAUUCAAAAUAUUUUUUAAUCUACCGACUCUCCAAUAAUGUUCUAGUAAUGCAAAUCUGAUCAGCUGGUUGGUGACUUUCUCUUCUCCAUUUGUUUUCGAAAAGCCUGACUGAUCGAGUACCGAAACUUGGGGAGUUUUCAAUAGUUGAAUGAAGAAUUAAGUCUACGAUUCUCAACUUUGCAGGACGAGUGCCUAUCUUGUUCAUUGUUAAAGUUUUGUAUGCGGAAAAAAGUGGUUCGAGAUUGAGGUUAGUCCCUUUUAGGCCAGCAAUGCGGUCGGAGAAGUCAACCUAAAAAGUCAACAAAAAACAGCAAUUUUCGCAUAAAACACUGCUCCAGUUUUUUACCAAUUUUGGUGCAAAUUUUUUGUGUUACUCCAAGGGAACCGAUCGUCCUUCAUGCUUUCCACACUUAUGCCAAUAACACAUUUUUUUCUACAGAAACGAAAAAACGACACUAAAAAUGCAGACUUGCAAAAGACAACACAAAAAGCGGGCAAAAAAUAAAUCAAAGAACCAUAAAAAUAUGGAUCUAGUUCAGGUCAGCCGCGUCCAUCAACGAGAAAAUCAGCGUGAAAAGUGGCAGCGUAAAGACUAUGCACGGCUGUCAGCGACUGCAGUGAAACAAAACCGCGCACAAAAGACGGGAGGCACAAAACAAAAAAAAAAAAA
Long non-coding RNA from Ceratitis capitata (Mediterranean fruit fly), 3920 nucleotides. RefSeq lists it as uncharacterized. The transcript has 4 exons. The record is from RefSeq and is a predicted model, not a curated record. NCBI's taxonomy places the organism in Eukaryota, Metazoa, Arthropoda, Insecta, Diptera, Tephritidae.